RNAcentral lists this small nuclear RNA (104 nucleotides) under Choloepus hoffmanni (Hoffmann's two-fingered sloth). Lineage: Eukaryota; Metazoa; Chordata; Mammalia; Pilosa; Megalonychidae. The record is from RNAcentral.
GUGCUCAUUUUGGCAGUACAUGUACUAAAAUUGGAACAAUACAGAGAUUAGCAUGGUCUCUGCACAAAGAUGACACACAAAUUCAUGACAUGUUCCAUAUUUUU